GCACAGUCAUUAAUUGGUCUUAAAAUUAAUGUACUGCUAUGUAGAGAGAUUUUAACAUAUUAUUAAACAGAACUAAUUUUAAUGAGUUCUCUGCAUAAUCCAACAUAACUUGUUGUAUGCUAAUAUUCAGUUUGCAAGAUUCCAGGUUUUCAUAGGUAUUCAUGGCUGAUGGUGUUGUAUUAUUUUAGUGCUUUGUCUAUAAUUACUACUGCUGUCCAUAAAGCAGGUUUAAGAGUUCUACCUCAGUCCAGAGAGAUUCUGUCUUCAUGGAACUGAGACAGGGAGAUUCCUGCUUCUUUCUCAGUUAACUAAGGAUUCAUAAGUGUAAGACCUCUUCUGAACAUAGAUGAGAUGACCAUGUCUGCACAAAAGGGGUGAAAAUGUGAGUCUCCUAUCAGGACAAGGAAAAAGUUAUGGAUUUAUCGUGUGUGUGAGACUCCGGGCAUCCCCCUGUUUGCUGUAGAGCUAUUAACUGCUUGAUUGCUACUGACCAGACCUGAUUGAAGAGGUACGUUGGCAGAUGAUGACAUUACUGCAGGAGAAGGUACGUUGCGAAUCCAUGAGAACUCAUAGCAGCUGUUUGCAUUAUAACCUCAGCAUCAGUGUGAAAGCUUACUGGCAUGUUCAUAAUGGAUAGUGCUCCAUUCUUCCUUGGCUAGAAACACACAGUCCCUUUUGGUGAAGAAAUUGUGACUUUGGACCUCAAGUCAAAACCUGCUUUGUUACAAACCGUGGGAAGUACAGUCUGUGAGUGUUGAUCCCAGUUAACCUGGUGUUUGCUGCCCACCUCUCUGUGUCCUGAUCCAUAUGGAGCAGCACUGGGUGACCAUGCACUGCUCUGGACUUUCAGAUGUUGAGAAAUGUCCUGAAGGCAGAUUGUUUGACAGAAUGUUUGAAAAAAUUUUCCCUGAUUUUGAUCAGAGCCAUUGUGAUCUUGAUGGUCCUAAAGCCCUGAAAAAGGAGGCGAGGCUUGGCAGAGCAUCUAAGACUACAUAUGGUUUACAAAAUGCCUCAAAAAUGCUGGGAAUGGGCCUGUAUCAGACUUCAGCCCUUCCUGACUGUGCUUCCAGAGUUUCUACCAUUUUUUUGAGGCCUCUUUUUAUUUUAUUCUCAAAAACUCUGCUAACAAAGCCACCUUUGUUGAGCUAUUAUGUAUUGACAUCCAAAGAACAUUUUGAAUUGUACAUGAAGGAAGGCUAAUUCUGCACAUGGUUCCUGGAAUAUUUUGGCUAUGGUGUGAUUUUGAUGCAAAGUUUGGAAACUGUGCUACAAGGUGCCUUUUUAAAACAAAAAAAACAACAAAAACAAACCCCAGGCAUACUGUCAGAAAUUCAUCAGCAGUUCCUCCUGAGUAAUGUACUUUUCCAGAGACAAGUGAAAAAAUGUCAAAACCAAAUAAAGAAUAGCUGUGUUAUAGGAGCUAUUCGAGAUCCAAUUUAGCCUUUCUUAUAAGUUUCCCUUCCAGUAAGCUGCUCUUCUCAUGUUUUCUUCCAGUAAAUGAGAUGUGCAUAACUCAAUCGUAUUAGAGAAUUGAUCCCUUUCAAAAACAUGCCAACAAACAAACAAACAGAAACUUCUGAAUGGCAAAAGAGGAAAAAAUAAAGGGUGCCAGUUUCCUAACCCUUUGGCUCACGUUCCUGGCUUGUCCAGCUCUCCCUCCAUUCACAGGAGGAUCUGCAGAGUUACACUGAUAAGAAUUCAGGUCACAGGAGAUUUCUAGUAAUGGUCUGGAUUAAAUCCAUCCAUACAUUCAUCUUUCUGUACACUAGAUGCGAGUCUUGGAUAUAAAAGCUGCCGAUCCCCAAUUUUUCA
This is a long non-coding RNA of Lagopus muta (rock ptarmigan), 1812 nucleotides long. RefSeq lists it as uncharacterized. The transcript is spliced from 6 exons. Lineage: Eukaryota; Metazoa; Chordata; Aves; Galliformes; Phasianidae. The record is from RefSeq and is a predicted model, not a curated record.